Long non-coding RNA from Xiphophorus couchianus (Monterrey platyfish), 584 nucleotides. RefSeq lists it as uncharacterized. NCBI's taxonomy places the organism in Eukaryota, Metazoa, Chordata, Actinopteri, Cyprinodontiformes, Poeciliidae. The record is from RefSeq and is a predicted model, not a curated record. The transcript has 2 exons.
AGACAUUAAAUGAAGCUGUUCAUUUCAGUUUGCAGAAAAAAUCCUGUCAAAAGAGGUUGUGGAUUUUCCUGUUUCCAGAGAGGCGGUCCACAGCAUGAGGUUGGAAAUUGCUGUGAGACUAAUCCUUAACAGUGAGGACCUAAAAGACUUGUGUCACUUCUGUGGAGAGAUGGAAAGUGACACGGAUGUGAACUGGGUAGGAAAGUUUUUAGAAUUAUUCAAAGACUUAGUGUUAGUAAACUAAAUGAAGAGGACAAGUUUUAUCUAAUCUUAUCUUGCGUAAACAAGCUAUGAUAUGAUCCUCCAACAGUUGGAAUAUAAAGGAAUCUAAAAUGAUUGAUUAUAUAUUGUAAUUGUAAAGACAUAUUUUUCUAAAAAAAACCUGAUAUUUUUGGUUUCUUUCCUAGAUCCAGUGUGACGUGUGUCUGAGGUGGUUCCAUCAUGCAUGUGUGGGAAGCCCACCAACUGAAAAAACAUAUCACUGCUUUGCGUGUUUGCCUUACUUGCCUUUGUUCCUGAGAUUGCUGUGGUGUGCUUGUUUAUGUAUGUUGUUUAAAGGUUAAUAAAUUACAUUUUGAAAACUG